RNAcentral lists this ribosomal RNA (328 nucleotides) under uncultured bacterium. RNAcentral describes it as "bacterial SSU rRNA". It matches the Rfam family "Bacterial small subunit ribosomal RNA", at positions 494 to 821 of the family's 1533-position model. The record is from RNAcentral.
CGGCUAACUCCGUGCCAGCAGCCGCGGUAAUACGGAGGGUGCGAGCGUUAUCCGGAAUUACUGGGUUUAAAGGGUGCGUAGGCGGCUUUGUAAGUCAGGAGUGAAAGUUAGCGGCUCAACCGUAUUAUUGCUUUUGAUACUGCGAGGCUAGAAUUAGGAUGAGGUCAGCGGAAUGUGGCAUGUAGCGGUGAAAUGCAUAGAUAUGCCAUAGAACACCAAUUGCGAAGGCAGCUGACUAGACCUGGAUUGACGCUGAGGCACGAGAGCGUGGGGAGCGAACAGGAUUAGAUACCCUGGUAGUCCACGCCCUAAACGAUGCUUACUCGAC